RNAcentral lists this ribosomal RNA (267 nucleotides) under Arachnodes robinsoni. RNAcentral's name for it is "partial 28S ribosomal RNA". It matches the Rfam family "Eukaryotic large subunit ribosomal RNA", at positions 688 to 921 of the family's 3401-position model. Lineage: Eukaryota; Metazoa; Arthropoda; Insecta; Coleoptera; Scarabaeidae. The record is from RNAcentral.
GAGUCAUUGGGACUCUGUUAAACCUAAAGGCGCAAUGAAAGUAAAGGUCCGCCUCGCGCGGACCGAGGGAGGAUGGGCCCGUACACGUACGGGCCCCGCACUCCCGGGGCGUCUCGUUCUCAUCGCGAGAAGAGGCGCACCCAGAGCGUACACGCUGGGACCCGAAAGAUGGUGAACUAUGCCUGGUCAGGACGAAGUCAGGGGAAACCCUGAUGGAGGUCCGUAGCGAUUCUGACGUGCAAAUCGAUCGUCGGAACUGGGUAUAGG